AUGCGAUAAAAGGGUGGCCGCGUUCGAUGAAGAAGUUGGAACCGUACCGAGCACAGGUUUGCCGACGCGAUAAGAGCCACGGGCUCCUUCCAUCGCAAUAAUCUUGCGGUUGACCUCGACGGUGUGCAACGAUAGGUAGUCACGGUACCGAUUUCUGCGACGGAGAGGCGGAGAAAUCGUCUGGGUGGCGCUUUACCAGAUCGAAUCGACUGUUUCCGAUACGCAGAAACUAUUAGAAAUCUAGUUUGAAUUAAUCGUUUAUUGUUAUGUUCAAACGACUCUGAACGUCGGUUCACACAAAAAUCUUGUCCAAGCGCGCACCUCUACCUGAACAAUGAACAGGAACUUUUCAUUUCUCGGGCGAUCGUCCGAUUCCAGGGAUUACGUCCAUUGCGACACUUCGACGAACGAAACGCGGGUCGAUCGACCGCGAAAGGAAGACGAGGCCGAAGAAAUGAUCGCGAGUUUGGACGGGAAUGGUCGGUUACGAAGAACUGGGUUCAUUUUCCCUGCGUGAUAAGCGCUUCACCGGCCAACUCGACUUCGUUAGACCGUUAUCAGUGGAGUAGAUGCUGAUAAGCGAUAGCGUCAGUUCGGAUUCCGGCGACUUCGGUGAGAAAAAUAAAUUUAACGACUACGGCGUUGCUAUUGUUUCGAUACCGCGCGACUUUAAAGAAAAAUUAAAUAUACAGAAUAAAUUAUAAACUCUC
Molecule: long non-coding RNA, 710 nt
Organism: Ceratina calcarata
Lineage: Eukaryota; Metazoa; Arthropoda; Insecta; Hymenoptera; Apidae
Exons: 2
Source: RefSeq, a predicted model, not a curated record